Molecule: ribosomal RNA, 497 nt
Filed under: uncultured bacterium
Lineage: Bacteria
Description: partial 16S ribosomal RNA
Rfam family: Bacterial small subunit ribosomal RNA
Source: RNAcentral
GAUGAACGCUGGCGGCGUGCCUAAUACAUGCAAGUCGAGCGAACGGACGAGAAGCUUGCUUCUCUGAUGUUAGCGGCGGACGGGUGAGUAACACGUGGAUAACCUACCUAUAAGACUGGGAUAACUUCGGGAAACCGGAGCUAAUACCGGAUAAUAUUUUGAACCGCAUGGUUCAAAAGUGAAAGACGGUCUUGCUGUCACUUAUAGAUGGAUCCGCGCUGCAUUAGCUAGUUGGUAAGGUAACGGCUUACCAAGGCAACGAUGCAUAGCCGACCUGAGAGGGAGAUCGGGCAGACAGGAACUGAGAAACGGCCCAGACUCGUACGAGGGGCAGAGUGAGGGGCUGUGGGGGAAAGGGUGAAAGCGUGAUGGAAAAAUGCUGCGUGAGGGAAGAAGGUAUUAGGAUCGUAAAACUAUGUUUGUAGGGAGGAACAUAUGAGUAAGUAACGGCGAACAUCUUGGCGGAACCCGCUCAGAAAGACACGACUCGUGACGUG